RNAcentral lists this ribosomal RNA (28 nucleotides) under Candida albicans. Its description in RNAcentral is "partial 5.8S ribosomal RNA". Lineage: Eukaryota; Fungi; Ascomycota; Pichiomycetes; Serinales; Debaryomycetaceae. The record is from RNAcentral.
GGAGGGCAUGCCUGUUUGAGCGUCGUUU